RNAcentral lists this ribosomal RNA (1854 nucleotides) under Metapion normandi. RNAcentral's name for it is "partial 16S ribosomal RNA". The record is from RNAcentral. Lineage: Eukaryota; Metazoa; Arthropoda; Insecta; Coleoptera; Brentidae.
UUAUUUUAUUAAUUUACAUAUCGCUGUAGUUUGAAUAUUYUAAAAGAAUUAUAAUGUUCAAGAUUUUUAUUAAAAAAUAAAUCAGGUCAAGGUGUAGUUUAUAGAUAAGAAGAGAUGGGUUACAUUAAACUUAUUUAAAUGGAUAAUAAAUUGAAAAAUUUAUUUGAAGGUGGAUUUAAAAGUAAUUUUUUUUAAAUAAUAAAGAUGAUUUUAGCUCUAAAAUAUGUACAUAUCGCCCGUCAUUUUCACUAUAAAGUGAAACAAGUCGUAACAUAGUAGGUGUACUGGAAAGUGUACCUAGAAAGACAAAUUAGAGCUUGUUAUAAAGCAUUUUAGUUACAUUAAAAAGUUUAUUGUGAAAAUCAAUAUAAUUUGAAUUUAUUUUAUUAUUUUUUUUUAAAAAAUUUUUAUUUAUUUAAUUAAAAUAUUUUAAUGUUUUAUUAUUGAAAUGAAAAAAUUUUGUUUAUAAUAGAGUAUUAGUAUUGUGAAAGAAAUAAAAUAAAUUUUUUGAAGAAAAAUUUAAUUUUUGUACCUUGUGCAUCAGGGUUUAUUAAAUAAAAAUUAUAAGUUUAAUUUUCUCGAAUUUAAAAGGGCUAUAAUAAUAUAAUUUUUAUUGUUUUAUAAAUAUUAAUAAUAUUUUUAUAGUAAUGAAAUGUUAUUCGUUUUUAAAUAUAUCUAGUUUUUUAAGAAAUAAAUUUAAUUUAAUUAAUAAGAAUAUUUAAUUAAAUUUUUAAUUUAAUAUUAUUAUUAUUAAAUAUUUUAAGGGAUGAGCUUUAAAAUAAAUUUUUAUAAAUAAAUUAAAAAUUUAAAUAAAUAGGAUUAUAAAUUUUCAUUUUUAUUAAUAUGUUAUAAUUAUUUUAAUUUUAAAUAAAAUUUUUAUUUAUUUUAAGUUUUAUAUUAAAAUAUUAAUUUAAAUUUUAUAAAUUAAGAAAUAAUGAUAGAAUUAGUAUAAUAAUUUGUAUUUUAAAAUAUAAAUUUAUGUUAAUUAAAGGAAUUCGGCAAAGGAUUUUUCACCUGUUUAUAAAAACAUGUCCUUUUGAUUUUAAUUUAAGGUCUAACCUGCCCAAUGAAAAAUUAAAUGGCCGCGGUAUUUUGACCGUGCAAAGGUAGCAUAAUCAUUUGUUUUUUAAUUGAAAGCUGGAAUGAAGGGUUGAAUGAAAAAAUAACUGUCUCUAAUUAAUUUAAUUAGAAAUUUAUUUUUAAGUUAAAAAGCUUAAAUAAAUUUUGAAGACGAGAAGACCCUAUAGAGUUUAAUAAUUAUGAAUUAAUAAAAUUUAGUAUUUAUAUUUUUAUAGAGGUAAUAAUUAUUUAAUUGGGGUGAUUGAAAAAUUAGGUUAACUUUUUUUGUAUAGUAUCAUAAAUUUAUGCAUAAUUGAUCCUUUAAGAGAUUAAAAGAAUAAAUUACCUUAGGGAUAACAGCGUAAUUUUUUUUUAGAGUUCAAAUCGAAAGAAAAGAUUGCGACCUCGAUGUUGGAUUAAAAUUAAUUAUUGGUGUAGUAGCUAAAUAAAUUGGGUCUGUUCGACCCUUAAAAUUUUACUUGAUCUGAGUUCAAACCGGUGUAAGCCAGGUUGGUUUCUAUCUCAAAAUAGUUAAUAUAUUUUAGUACGAAAGGACCAAAUAUUUAAUUAAUAAUUUUAUUAUUGAAUAAUAUUAAUAAGUUAUUUUGGCAGAUUAGUGCUAAUAGAUUUAGAAUCUAUUUAUGUAAUUUUUACAAAUAAUACUUGAUAUUUAAGGAUAUAAUUAUAAUAAUAAUUUCUAUAGUAAUUUUAAUUUUAUGUGUGAUGAUUAGUGUUGCAUUUUUAACAUUAUUAGAACGAAAAGUUUUAGGAUAUAUUCAAAUUCGUAAGGGACCA